This 522-nucleotide ribosomal RNA is filed under the name uncultured bacterium. RNAcentral describes it as "bacterial SSU rRNA". It matches the Rfam family "Bacterial small subunit ribosomal RNA", at positions 16 to 518 of the family's 1533-position model. The record is from RNAcentral.
AUCCUGGCUUAGAUUGAACGCUGGCGGCGUGCUUAACACAUGCAAGUCGUGCGAGAAAGGUCCUCGGGGACUGAGUAGAGCGGCGCACGGGUGAGUAACGCGUGGGUGACCUACCCAGGAGACCGGGAUAACAGUGGGAAACUGCUGCUAAUACCGGGUACGCUUCAUAUUUCACGGUAUGGGGGAAAGGCGGCCUCUGCUUGCAAGCUGCCACUCUUGGAUGGGCCCGCGUCUCAUUAGCUUGUUGGUAGGGUAACGGCCUACCAAGGCGACGAUGAGUAGCUGGUCUGAGAGGAUGAUCAGCCACACUGGGACUGGAACACGGCCCAGACUCCUACGGGAGGCAGCAGUGGGGAAUAUUGCGCAAUGGGCGAAAGCCUGACGCAGCGACGCCGCGUGAGGGAAGAAGGCCUUCGGGUCGUAAACCUCUGUCAGGAGGGAAGAAACCAUGGGAGUCGAAUAGGCUCUCGUGCUGACGGUACCUCCGGAGGAAGCACCGGCUAACUCCGUGCCAGCCGCGGC